RNAcentral lists this unclassified non-coding RNA (219 nucleotides) under Trichophorum subcapitatum. Its description in RNAcentral is "partial ITS1". Lineage: Eukaryota; Viridiplantae; Streptophyta; Magnoliopsida; Poales; Cyperaceae. The record is from RNAcentral.
UUGCUCUUUCUCGAAGAAACACGACCGGUGCACACGUGACAGAAUUCUGCCGGGGAGGCACUGCCUCCUCGGCCCCACCGGCCCCGGUCCUCUCGCCCCCUGGGUGUGCUGGUCGCGGGUCGGAAUACGGCGCGGGAUGACGCCAAGGAACACGAGAAUGCCGAGGCAUCGGCGAGCCGCUCGGGGUUUGCGCCGACUGCCAAGGCCACUGAAAAAAAA